GAUGAACGCUGGCGGCGUGCCUAAUACAUGCAAGUCGAGCGAACGGACGAGAAGCUUGCUUCUCUGAUGUUAGCGGCGGACGGGUGAGUAACACGUAGAUAACCUACCUAUAAGACUGGGAUAACUUCGGGAAACCGGAGCUAAUACCGGAUAAUAUUUUGAACCGCAUGGUUCAAAAGUGAAAGACGGUCUUGCUGUCACUUAUAGAUGGAUCCGCGCUGCAUUAGCUAGUUGGUAAGGUAACGGCUUACCAAGGCAACGAUGCAUAGCCGACCUGAGAGGGUGAUCGGCCACACUGGAACUGAGACACGGUCCAGACUCCUACGGGAGGCAGCAGUAGGGAAUCUUCCGCAAUGGGCGAAAGCCUGACGGAGCAACGCCGCGUGAGUGAUGAAGGUCUUCGGAUCGUAAAACUCUGUUAUUAGGGAAGAACAUAUGUGUAAGUAACUGUGCACAUCUUGACGGUACCUAAUCAGAAAGCCACGGCUAACUACGUGCCAGCAGCCGCGGUAAUACGUAGGUGGCAAGCGUUAUCCGGAAUUAUUGGGCGUAAAGCGCGCGUAGGCGGUUUUUUAAGUCUGAUGUGAAAGCCCACGGCUCAACCGUGGAGGGUCAUUGGAAACUGGAAAACUUGAGUGCAGAAGAGGAAAGUGGAAUUCCAUGUGUAGCGGUGAAAUGCGCAGAGAUAUGGAGGAACACCAGUGGCGAAGGCGACUUUCUGGUCUGUAACUGACGCUGAUGUGCGAAAGCGUGGGGAUCAAACAGGAUUAGAUACCCUGGUAGUCCACGCCGUAAACGAUGAGUGCUAAGUGUUAGGGGGUUUCCGCCCCUUAGUGCUGCAGCUAACGCAUUAAGCACUCCGCCUGGGGAGUACGACCGCAAGGUUGAAACUCAAAGGAAUUGACGGGGACCCGCACAAGCGGUGGAGCAUGUGGUUUAAUUCGAAGCAACGCGAAGAACCUUACCAAAUCUUGACAUCCUUUGACAACUCUAGAGAUAGAGCUUUCCCCUUCGGGGGACAAAGUGACAGGUGGUGCAUGGUUGUCGUCAGCUCGUGUCGUGAGAUGUUGGGUUAAGUCCCGCAACGAGCGCAACCCUUAAGCUUAGUUGCCAUCAUUAAGUUGGGCACUCUAAGUUGACUGCCGGUGACAAACCGGAGGAAGGUGGGGAUGACGUCAAAUCAUCAUGCCCCUUAUGAUUUGGGCUACACACGUGCUACAAUGGACAAUACAAAGGGCAGCGAAACCGCGAGGUCAAGCAAAUCCCAUAAAGUUGUUCUCAGUUCGGAUUGUAGUCUGCAACUCGACUACAUGAAGCUGGAAUCGCUAGUAAUCGUAGAUCAGCAUGCUACGGUGAAUACGUUCCCGGGUCU
This 1372-nucleotide ribosomal RNA is filed under the name uncultured bacterium. RNAcentral describes it as "bacterial SSU rRNA". It matches the Rfam family "Bacterial small subunit ribosomal RNA", at positions 28 to 1381 of the family's 1533-position model. The record is from RNAcentral.